Molecule: unclassified non-coding RNA, 1550 nt
Filed under: Rhopalosiphum maidis (corn leaf aphid)
Lineage: Eukaryota; Metazoa; Arthropoda; Insecta; Hemiptera; Aphididae
Description: trehalase-like, transcript variant X2
Source: RNAcentral
AUUUUUUAGUACAUAAUAACGUUUAUAUUUUAAAAAUUAUGUAUUUAUUAAGAUUUUUUUUAAAUACUUUAUGCAUCAUUUUAUUUUGGAACACAGAAUGUUAUUGCAUAUCAGCAUUACUUUUUAGAACGAAACCAUGAGAGCACUUCUGGAAAUGAAAAAAAAAUCUGAAGUCAAAUCCAAAGGAUUUCAUAAAUCUCCAUUUCGGAGUUGAAAACCCUGAAUUCCAGUAAUGCAGGAUACCUAUGGACUGGAUACCCAAACCAAAAUUCGUAAAUUAUAUGACUGAUCAUUAAUUACAAACGAAGAUGAUGGAUAUAAACUCAAUAUGGAAGACACUUGGCAGAAAAAUAAACGACGAUGUGCGUUUGAAUCCCGAUCGUUACUCUAUUAUCUAUGUUCAUAAUCCAAUAAUAGUACCCAGUGAUAGGUUUCAGGAAAUAUACUAUUGGGAAUCUUAUUGGAUAUUUGGAUUAUUAGGGGUCUAUUAACGUACGAAAUGAAAAACACUGUAAAAGGAAUUAUCAUCAUAUUUGUCUAUGAUCAAAACAUUCGGACAUAUCCCGAACGGAGGAUCUAUUACACAAAGAGAUCACAGCCUCCGUUAAUUGUGCCAGUGAUGCAUAGUUAUGUGGAGGCUAUGAAUGAUAAACAAUUCUUAGCAAAACACAUAGACCUCUUGGAAAUAGAAGUAACUUACUGGAUAACAAAUCAUAUUGUCGGUGUAGUAAAAUACAAGAAACCUUAUACCUUGCCCAAUACCAUAAUCAUACAGGGAAGUUAUCAUAAAAUUACAUGUAUUCGAGACAGAUAAUGAGAAAGAAGAUUUUUAUUUGGAACUCAAAGCGGACGCAUAAUCAGGAAAUGAUUAUUCCACACGGUAGUUCGUCCGUAAUGGUACAAAUCAAGUUCAGGUUCAUUUAACGAAUCAAAAACAAAAUUGCUAUUGGCAGUGCACAAAUCAGGUUUAUCAAGUGCUGAUGACAUUAUUGAUGGGAUGACAAAAAGAAAAAGUAAAUGUCCUUAUAGAGGUCAACGAUUUUCUCCCACUACAAUUAUCAAAUCAAAAAAAACUGAGUCAGCAAUUCAAAACAAAUAAAAAUAUCUUCUGGUAGCUGUCCCCUCAUUAUCACAACGCUUUUCAAACAGUUAAUUCAAAUAAAGAAACAAAUAUUUUUAAACCAUCUUAUGAUUCAGACAAAGAUUUUCUAUAGAAAAUUGAUAAAAGUCAAAAGAACUGUUAUUGAUGGUAUUAAUUGUAUAACACCUGAAAAACAUGCCUCUUUAUUAGUUGAACAUAUUGACAAUAUAUAACAUAAUUUUAUCUUCUGUUGGAACGUGGACAAUUCAAAAAGACAAGGAUAUUCAAUUAUUAUACUAAAUAAGUUCUGAUUGCAAUGGCAUUAAAGUUAAAAAAGUAUUAUAUUGUGAUCAAAAUAUUGAAAACUCAGGAUCUGGUACUACAGCUGAUAUUUUAAAACUGCCUCAAGAUAAUAAUAUAUUACAAAAACAGUCAAAUAUAUCUGAUGGUAUGUGUAUUAUUUAGUAAU